This is a long non-coding RNA of Sciurus carolinensis (gray squirrel), 1899 nucleotides long. RefSeq lists it as uncharacterized. The record is from RefSeq and is a predicted model, not a curated record. NCBI's taxonomy places the organism in Eukaryota, Metazoa, Chordata, Mammalia, Rodentia, Sciuridae. The transcript has 2 exons.
CCAGACAACUGACUGACUGAGUGGCAGAACAGAGCUGGUGCCACUUCGGGGGAGACAGACCAUGGCCCCAGACAAGUGCUCCUGAGCCCCGGGCCAGCCGUACUCCUGAGCACACCAAGUCAGUUCACAAAUCAAAGAAGAGCCCUCUUGAGACUCACACACAGGCUGGGACAGGGGCCAGCCAGAAGAGCUAUCCAAUAGCCAUCAGGCCCUGGGCUCCACCCCAGCACUGAGAGAAACACAUGAACGGUGGACACCUCAGAACAGCCAGUGGAAGGAGCCAGAUGCACAGCACAUGCACUGAGCAAGACCACAUGUGCAGCAUCCAGAACAGCGCCUGCAGCCAGAGUAGGUCAGUGGCUUGGCAGGGUGGACCAAACAGGGUCACCACGCCAGUGUACCAAAUACCAUCAAACUGCCACUUCAGGUAGGUGAAGCUGCUCUACUCAUCUCACCUCCACACGAAGAAACAGCCCUGAGCUCAGACUACACACUGUGCAAAACCCUCCCCUGUCCAACCACACCCAAGCCUCAAGCCUGGUUAACUGACUCCAUAGGCCAGCUGCCAAGGGGCCAGCAUGCCUGCUGGGCCCUGGCCCUCCACAGCUGAGCUCCCACCCCAGGGCUCUGCUCAAGGACAGCAGGGCAACAGGACCUCCUGACCAGGCCCAAUCACAAUCCCAGACUGGAGCCCCGGGCCUCCAGCAGACACCAGUGGAGGGUGAAGGGGAGGAUGUCCCAUGGGGCCCAACAGGGAGACCCGAGGUUGUUCUGCAGAGGACUGCACACUCCAUGGAUGGCCACAUUGGCACAGCUGAGAUGCAGGCAUUUGCAGGAGUGCUAAACAGGGCUGAAUGUAACCAUAUGAAGUGGGAUACUGCCUCCUGUACAUCCACACAGUCCACAACUGUCCUAUUCCAGACCAUGCCUGUGUCCUCUGACCCACCGGUCACUCCUAACCUACUUUUCCCCCUGGAGUGCAGGGUAUUCCUGUCCAACAUGCCUCACUCAGCAGGGUGCCCGGCAUGGUGCCCAGGGUCCUGCCAACCUGGUGCAGGGCACUGGUCACUCUUGUCCAUGGCUGAACAGUGUUCCAUGUCUGUCUGCCAACAGAGGAACCUCUCGGCCAGGAUGAAGAAGGCCGCUGCCCAUUUCCAGGUCUCUUGGGCCUCUGUCUAGAGCUGCCAGUUGUGGGACAAGCCAUCCUGGAAUGAGGAGGUUCAGCCCAUCAUUGCCUAAAAGCUGGUGGUGCUGGACAGAAGUUCAUCCUGCUGGCCUGCAUGUGUGCAGAUGGGUUGGAACCCAGGACCUGGAGAGCUUAGCAAGUUCUGCCUGAGUUGCACCCCAGCCUGCUGGUGGCCAUUUGGACGUCAUCCUUGGAGAAACAGACCCUGUGCUGACCUUUAUUUCAUAUGCAUGCACAUAUGCACACAGGCGCUAAUGACAAGGCCACCUCCACAGCCCUUGCCACUCGGCCUCACCCAGGCUGGCUGGGAACCUGUGGUCCUCCUGCUUCUGCCUCUGAGUGGCGGGGUCAGAGUGGGAGGCAUGCCCACCACACCCAGCUCCUCUGCCCAGCCUUCAUGUGGAAUACCUUGUUAGUAAAGGUUUCUAAGAGUCCUUUCUGUACCUCUUUUGUCUUCUCAUCUUUCUAUGGUAAAAUAUAUUGCUUUUAUAAUCAGGAGAAAUAAAACCACUGCUGACUUUUGAUCAGAAGUGGAAAUGAGCCUGAUAGCACAUUUAAUUUCUGUAGAGCACUGCAUGUGGCUAAAACAACUCUUCAAUGUGCAAUUCAUUUCUAGAGUAGAAUAUCUGUUAAAUGAGGGGGCUCUUUAGAUAAGUUUUUAUAUUUUUUGAGAUGUUCACAUUUCUGUUAAUUAAAUGUCAUCAUAAUUUGCA